RNAcentral lists this long non-coding RNA (1958 nucleotides) under Brassica napus (rape). Its description in RNAcentral is "long non-coding RNA (BNAP_LNC004572)". The record is from RNAcentral. Lineage: Eukaryota; Viridiplantae; Streptophyta; Magnoliopsida; Brassicales; Brassicaceae.
AGUUUGUCGACCGUUACUCAAUCCGCAUUGGCUAUCUUCUCAUCUUCAGAUACGAAGGCAACUCUGCCUUCAGCGUCUACAUUUACAACUUAUCACACUCCGAGAUCAACUACCAUUCCUCCGCUCUCAUGGACACCGCACACACCCACCUCAAACGCGCACGUUUGUUUGAAGACCUCGAAGAUGAAGACGCCGCCGAGGUUGUUUAUCCUUCUUCUUCUGUGUAUCCGUCAUCACAACAGCAUCCUGAAGUUACUGUGGCCGCUAUUAAAGGGUACGCUAGUCCAGCUAUCCAGAGCUUCUUCGCUGGACCACCUGUUAAAGCUGAAGAGGCGACACCAACUCCUAAAGUUACUAAGAAGAGAGGGAGGAAGAAGAAGAACGCUGUUCCUGGUAAAGCCUUUUUCCUCUCUUUUUAAACUCUUGUUUCAUACUUGGAUUGAUGUGAUGAUUGGUGUGAUCCAUCCAGAGGAAGUAAACUCAUCUGCUCCGAGGGAUGAUGACCCGGAGAGCCGUUCAAAGUUCUACGAGAGUGCUUCUGCGAGAAAGAGAACGGUGACUGCAGAAGAGAGAGAGAGAGCCAUCAAUGCAGCUAAAACGUUCGAGCCAACAAACCCUUUCUUCAGAGUUGUUCUCCGACCAUCUUAUCUAUACAGAGGCUGCAUCAUGGUAAAGCCAAAAACAUCUCAAAGUCAGCUCAUUAUGACGUCUUUUAAAAAGCUCUCUUUUUGUUGUUGUGUGUUUCCUUUGAACAGUAUCUGCCUUCUGGAUUUGCUGAGAAGUACUUAAGUGGGAUCUCGGGAUUCAUCAAGGUCCAGCUCGGGGAGAAACAGUGGCCAGUGAGAUGCCUCUACAAAGCAGGGAGAGCCAAGUUCAGCCAAGGAUGGUACGAGUUCACUCUGGAGAACAACCUAGGAGAAGGUGACGUCUGCGUGUUCGAGCUCCUCAGAACCAGAGACUUCGUCCUGAAAGUAACGGCCUAUCGAUCCUCUUGUGAGUGAAACUCCAAAGAAGUGAAAAGUAAUUUGACUCUUUUUUAUAAGGUCUCUUUGCUUUGUUUAGAGUAAUAAGAAGUAAUUGACUUUUUUUUUCUUAAUAAGGUCUCUUUGUAUGUCUAUGUUACAAGACUCAUUGCUCGUUUUCGUAAGUUAAAAAGUGUUUUUGUGUGUGUAGAAGAAUAAACAUACAUUUAUGUUACAGUCCAUGAAAGUUUGUGGAUUAACAUGAACACAUAUUGAAAUACUAGUUGGUUCUCAGCUUACCAUAUAAAUAAGAUCAUAGGAGUGAUGACAUAAGCAGUCUAUUCAAAGAUAAAAAAUAUACAAUGUUCCAGGAAUAGUAAUGGACUGUGUCACACAGCCUUGGAAAUUGAAACAGUACAAUUUGGAUUGUGAUUUUAAUUUAGGCAAAAGCAGGCUGCUCUCCAGCAAUAUAUCUUUGCCAUUUAGCAUUAUAUAUCUUGUAAAUCUUUUUUUUUUUAAAUUCCUGGUAUGGUUUGUGCAGAGAGUUCCAGAUAAGUUUGUGAGUAAAUUCAAGGACGAGCUAUCCGUCGCAGUUGCACUCACAGUACCUGACGGUCACGUCUGGCGUGUAGGACUAAGAAAAUCCGACAACAACAAAAUCUACUUUCAAGAUGGUUGGCAAGAGUUUGUCGACCGUUACUCAAUCCGCAUUGGCUAUCUUCUCAUCUUCAGAUACGAAGGCAACUCUGCCUUCAGCGUCUACAUUUACAACUUAUCACACUCCGAGAUCAACUACCAUUCCUCCGCUCUCAUGGACACCGCACACACCCACCUCAAACGCGCACGUUUGUUUGAAGACCUCGAAGAUGAAGACGCCGCCGAGGUUGUUUAUCCUUCUUCUUCUGUGUAUCCGUCAUCACAACAGCAUCCUGAAGUUACUGUGGCCGCUAUUAAAGGGUACGCUAGUCCAGCUAUCCAGAGCUUCUUCGCUGGACC